Molecule: transfer RNA, 96 nt
Filed under: Tistrella bauzanensis
Lineage: Bacteria; Pseudomonadati; Pseudomonadota; Alphaproteobacteria; Geminicoccales; Geminicoccaceae
Description: tRNA-Gly
Source: RNAcentral
CGAUCGUCUGGCUCAGGCGCGGCUGGCGGCGCCGGUGCCGCCGGCGCGGGUGUUCGCCGUGGGUGGCGCCCGGGUGUUCGACUGCCUCCCGAUCCA